RNAcentral lists this ribosomal RNA (875 nucleotides) under uncultured organism. Its description in RNAcentral is "bacterial SSU rRNA". It matches the Rfam family "Bacterial small subunit ribosomal RNA", at positions 9 to 873 of the family's 1533-position model. The record is from RNAcentral.
AGAGUUUGAUCGUGGCUCAGAUUGAACGCUGGCGGCAGGCUUAACACAUGCAAGUCGAGCGGAGAUGAGGUGCUUGCACCUUAUCUUAGCGGCGGACGGGUGAGUAAUGCUUAGGAAUCUGCCUAUUAGUGGGGGACAACAUUCCGAAAGGAAUGCUAAUACCGCAUACGUCCUACGGGAGAAAGCAGGGGAUCUUCGGACCUUGCGCUAAUAGAUGAGCCUAAGUCGGAUUAGCUAGUUGGUGGGGUAAAGGCCUACCAAGGCGACGAUCUGUAGCGGGUCUGAGAGGAUGAUCCGCCACACUGGGACUGAGACACGGCCCAGACUCCUACGGGAGGCAGCAGUGGGGAAUAUUGGACAAUGGGGGGAACCCUGAUCCAGCCAUGCCGCGUGUGUGAAGAAGGCCUUAUGGUUGUAAAGCACUUUAAGCGAGGAGGAGGCUACUGAGACUAAUACUCUUGGAUAGGGGACGUACUCGCAGAAUAAGCACCGGCUAACUCUGUGCCAGCAGCCGCGGUAAUACAGAGGGUGCGAGCGUUAAUCGGAUUUACUGGGCGUAAAGCGUGCGUAGGCGGCUUUUUAAGUCGGAUGUGAAAUCCCCGAGCUUAACUUGGGAAUUGCAUUCGAUACUGGGAAGCUAGAGUAUGGGAGAGGAUGGUAGAAUUCCAGGUGUAGCGGUGAAAUGCGUAGAGAUCUGGAGGAAUACCGAUGGCGAAGGCAGCCAUCUGGCCUAAUACUGACGCUGAGGUACGAAAGCAUGGGGAGCAAACAGGAUUAGAUACCCUGGUAGUCCAUGCCGUAAACGAUGUCUACUAGCCGUUGGGGCCUUUGAGGCUUUAGUGGCGCAGCUAACGCGAUAAGUAGACCGCCUGGGA